Molecule: ribosomal RNA, 744 nt
Filed under: uncultured prokaryote
Description: bacterial SSU rRNA
Rfam family: Bacterial small subunit ribosomal RNA
Source: RNAcentral
GAUGAACGCUGACAGAAUGCUUAACACAUGCAAGUCGAUUCGAUUUACCUUCGGGUAUUGAGGAUGGCGGACGGGUGAGUAACGCGUAAGGAACUUGCCUCUUGGUCUGGGACAACUGUUGGAAACGACAGCUAAUACCGGAUAUUAUGAGAUUCUCGCAUGGGAAACUUAUGAAAGCUAUAUGCGCCAAGAGAGAGCCUUGCGUUCCAUUAGCUAGUUGGUGGGGUAACGGCCCACCAAGGCGACGAUGGAUAGCCGGCCUGAGAGGGUGAACGGCCACAAGGGGACUGAGACACGGCCCUUACUCCUACGGGAGGCAGCAGUGGGGAAUAUUGGACAAUGGGCCACAAGCCUGAUCCAGCAAUUCUGUGUGCACGAUGAAGGUCUUCGGAUUGUAAAGUGCUUUCAGUUGGGAAGAAGAAAGUGACGGUACCAACAGAAGAAGCGACGGCUAAAUACGUGCCAGCAGCCGCGGUAAUACGUAUGUCGCAAGCGUUAUCCGGAUUUAUUGGGCGUAAAGCGCGUCUAGGCGGAAAAAUAAGUCUGAUGUUAAAAUGCGGGGCUCAACUCCGUAUUGCGUUGGAAACUGUUUUUCUAGAGUACUGGAGAGGUGGGCGGAACUACAAGUGUAGAGGUGAAAUUCGUAGAUAUUUGUAGGAAUGNCGAUGGAGAAGUCANCUCACUGGACAGANACUGACGCUAAAGCGCGAAAGCGUGGGGAGCAAACAGGANUAGAUACCCUGG